Molecule: ribosomal RNA, 21 nt
Filed under: Armillaria sp.
Lineage: Eukaryota; Fungi; Basidiomycota; Agaricomycetes; Agaricales; Physalacriaceae
Description: partial large subunit ribosomal RNA
Source: RNAcentral
CCUUGUUCUACAGAUUUGUUC